Molecule: ribosomal RNA, 358 nt
Filed under: uncultured Archaeospora
Lineage: Eukaryota; Fungi; Glomeromycota; Glomeromycetes; Archaeosporales; Archaeosporaceae
Description: partial 28S ribosomal RNA
Source: RNAcentral
GAGAGUAAAACAGUACGUGAAAUUGUUGAAAGGGAAACGCUUGAAGUCAGUCGUGCCGGCGUUGGAUUCAGCUUGCUUCGCGGAGCAGGCGUAUUUCCAUGCAUGGCAGGUCAGCGUCAGUUUUGCGCGGCGUGAAAAGGCUCGGGUAAGGUAGCUCUCUUCGGGGAGUGUUAUAGACCUGGGCAGAUGCGCUGCGCGGGACUGAGGAUUGCAGCGGACACCCCCUCGGGGGCGCGGCGACCGAACCCUGCUCGGCCACCCUCGUUCGAUAGCGUGCUAGCGGACGCGGGAGCGGCAGUGCACCGGAACAGGCAAGCCAGCGGUUCGCUAAGGAUGCUGACGUAAUGGCUUUAAACGA